Molecule: non-coding RNA, 469 nt
Organism: Crotalus tigris (Tiger rattlesnake)
Lineage: Eukaryota; Metazoa; Chordata; Lepidosauria; Squamata; Viperidae
Source: the annotation of a RefSeq genome assembly
CUCCCAUCAACAUAAACCUUGUGCUAGUUGCCAAAUCCUUUGAGUGAGCAAAAAUGUGGCUAAACAUUGUGUCCUUAUUAGUAAUCCUCAAAGGAGUCCAGUCUCAAGUCCAGUUGGUGGAGUCUGGAGGAGAUCUGCAAAGACCUGGAGGGUCCCUCCGUCUCUCCUGCCAAGCCUCUGGAUUCCCUUUCAGCAGCUUUAGCAUGAGCUGGGGGAGACAGUUUCCAGAGAAAGGACUGGAAUGGGUUGCACACAUGGGUUCAUCUAUCACUUACUACUCAGACAAAGUGAAGGGACGCUUCACCAUCUCCAGGGAUGAUGCCAAAAGCCAGCUGUAUCUGCAAAUGAGCAGCCUCACAGCUGAAGACACAGCCGUAUAUUACUGUGCAAGAGGCACAGUGAGAGGAAGUGAAUCUGAAGCCAAACAAGAACCUUCCUUUCUUCAGAGCAGUUCUUCAACUUGACUGAG